GGUUGCUUAAGACAGCAGGACGGUGGCCAUGGAAGUCGGAAUCCGCUAAGGAGUGUGUAACAACUCACCUGCCGAAGCAACUAGCCCUGAAAAUGGAUGGCGCUGAAGCGUCGUGCCUAUACCCGGCCGCCGGCGGCAGAGGGCCGUCCGCCUUCGGGCGGCGGCCGUUAAGCCCCGGUGAGUAGGAGGGUCGCCGCGGUGAGCGCAGAAGGGUCUGGGCGCGAGCCUGCCUGGAGCCGCCGCGGGUGCAGAUCUUGGUGGUAGUAGCAAAUACUCCAGCGAGGGCCUGGAGGACCGAUGUGGAGAAGGGUUCCGUGUGAACAGCCGUUGCACACGGGUCAGUCGAUCCUAAGCCCUAGGCGAAAGCCGAUGAUGAUGGUCGCGGGACUUAUGAUGAAGCCCGGACCUCGUGUGCUGCACACAACGGAGAUAUCGGGAGUCCAAGACUUCGAAAGGAGUUUGAGCUGACGAGGCUGAGGCAGAUUCCUGAAGCGUGACAGAAGUAGCGGAGCGAGGAGCUCGCCGCGAUCGUUCCCACCAUACUUUCUCUCACUCACACGUCGUGGUUUCCUGCUCAACGGAAACGCUUCUGUGCUGUAGUGGAGGAGUAGGUGUUCGACGUCGCGGUAGCGAAAAAUCACGCAAGGGAGAGUCCUCUUAAAGUCUCGUGCGGCGCAAAAACUCGCAAGUAGAUGUCGCGCGACUCUCCGAGUAUGUCUCCGCAGCCGCGAGGACAAUCGGGUCGAACUUAAGACAACCCCGUCCGUCGGGCGAAAGGGAAUCCGGUUCCUAUUCCGGAACCCGGUCGCGGGACCGUUCUCUCGAUCCUCGUAUUGACGCGGUAACGCGAAAGACCCCAGAGAUGCCGUCUGGAGCCCGGGGAAGAGUUUUCUUUUCUGUUUGAGCGUUCGGGUUCCAUGGAAUCCUCUCGUAGGGAGAUAUGGAAUGGAGCGCGAAGAGCACCGCAGUUGCUGCGGUGUCCCGGGAGUCCCGUCGGCCCUUGAAAAUCUGGGUGAGGAUCACGUGGAGGCGCCGCACCGGCUCGUACCCAUAUCCGCAGCAGGUCUCCGAGGUCCAGAGCCUCUGGUCGAUAGACUAAUGUAGGUA
Molecule: ribosomal RNA, 1107 nt
Filed under: Proboscidoplocia sp. BYU IGCEP221
Lineage: Eukaryota; Metazoa; Arthropoda; Insecta; Ephemeroptera; Euthyplociidae
Description: eukaryotic LSU rRNA
Rfam family: Eukaryotic large subunit ribosomal RNA
Source: RNAcentral